Molecule: ribosomal RNA, 266 nt
Filed under: uncultured Staphylococcus sp.
Lineage: Bacteria; Bacillati; Bacillota; Bacilli; Caryophanales; Staphylococcaceae
Description: partial 16S ribosomal RNA
Rfam family: Bacterial small subunit ribosomal RNA
Source: RNAcentral
CGGCGGACGGGUGAGUAACACGUGGGUAACCUACCUAUAAGACUGGGACAACUUCGGGAAACCGGAGCUAAUACCGGAUAAGAUAUCGAACCGCAUGGUUCGAUAGUGAAAGAUGGUUUUGCUAUCACUUAUAGAUGGACCCGCGCCGUAUUAGCUAGUUGGUGAGGUAACGGCUCACCAAGGCAACGAUACGUAGCCGACCUGAGAGGGUGAUCGGCCGCACUGGAACUGAGACACGGUCCAGACUCCUACGGGAGGCAGCAGUC